Molecule: ribosomal RNA, 450 nt
Filed under: uncultured bacterium
Lineage: Bacteria
Description: partial 16S ribosomal RNA
Rfam family: Bacterial small subunit ribosomal RNA
Source: RNAcentral
GUGGGGAAUAUUGGACAAUGGGCGAAAGCCUGAUCCAGCCAUGCCGCGUGUGUGAAGAAGGUCUUCGGAUUGUAAAGCACUUUAAGUUGGGAGGAAGGGCAGUAAGUUAAUACCUUGCUGUUUUGACGUUACCGACAGAAUAAGCACCGGCUAACUUCGUGCCAGCAGCCGCGGUAAUACGAAGGGUGCAAGCGUUAAUCGGAAUUACUGGGCGUAAAGCGCGCGUAGGUGGUUUUGUAAGUUGGAGGUGAAAUCCCCGGGCUCAACCUGGGAACUGCCUCCAAAACUGCAUGACUAGAGUACGAUAGAGGGUAGUGGAAUUUCCUGUGUAGCGGUGAAAUGCGUAGAUAUAGGAAGGAACACCAGUGGCGAAGGCGACUACCUGGACUGAUACUGACACUGAGGUGCGAAAGCGUGGGGAGCAAACAGGAUUAGAAACCCCUGUAGUCC